This 497-nucleotide ribosomal RNA is filed under the name uncultured bacterium. RNAcentral's name for it is "partial 16S ribosomal RNA". It matches the Rfam family "Bacterial small subunit ribosomal RNA", at positions 28 to 507 of the family's 1533-position model. The record is from RNAcentral.
GAUGAACGCUGGCGGCGUGCCUAAUACAUGCAAGUCGAGCGAACAGACGAGGAGCUUGCUCCUCUUACGUUAGCGGCGGACGGGUGAGUAACACGUGGAUAACCUACCUAUAAGACUGGGCUAACUUCGGGAAACCGGAGCUAAUACCGGAUAAUAUAUUGAACCGCAUGUUUCAAUAGUGACAGACGGUUUUGCUGUCACUUAUAGAUGGAUCCGCGCCGCAUUAGCUAGUUGGUAAGGUAACGGCUUACCAAGGCGACGAUGCGUAGCCGACCUGAGAGGGUGAUCGGCCACACUGGAACUGAGACACGGUCCAGACUCCUACGGGAGGCAGCAGUAGGGAAUCUUCCGCAAUGGGCGAAAGCCUGACGGAGCAACGCCGCGUGAGUGAUGAAGGUCUUCGGAUCGUAAAACUCUGUUAUUAGGGAAGAACAAAUGUGUAAGUAACUAUGCACGUCUUGACGGUACCUAAUCAGAAAGCCACGGCUAACUACGUG